This is a long non-coding RNA of Balaenoptera musculus (blue whale), 348 nucleotides long. RefSeq lists it as uncharacterized. The record is from RefSeq and is a predicted model, not a curated record. NCBI's taxonomy places the organism in Eukaryota, Metazoa, Chordata, Mammalia, Artiodactyla, Balaenopteridae. The transcript is spliced from 3 exons.
CUUUGCUCACGUGUUGCUUCUACUCGGAUCACCCUUAUCCACCAGCGCUUCCAGAUAUUGCAUUUUUUACAAAUUGAAGGCUUGUGGCAACCCGGCAUUGUCAAGCGAUUGUUAGCAGUUUUCAACAAUAAAGUAUUUUUAAAUUAAGCAGGGCUAAAACAAGACACUUGGGGAUGCCGGUGGCCACAACAUGAGGAGAGCAACCUGAGACAUGAGGCCGCAACCUGAGGAUGAAGCUAACGGAGGAGAGCAGAGCCAAGAAACUGACAUUCCAAAGAUAUUAAACACAUGGACCCAGCCUCAUAUCAACUACCAAUAAACCAAUAAACAUUUCAGUGGUGUGAGCCA